UACGUAGGGUGCAAGCGUUUGUCCGGAAUUAUUGGGCGUAAAGAGCUCGUAGGCGGUCUGUUGCGUCGGCUGUGAAAACCCGGGGCUCAACCCCGGGCCUGCAGCCGAUACGGGCAGACUAGAGUUCGGCAGGGGAGACUGGAAUUCCUGGUGUAGCGGUGAAAUGCGCAGAUAUCAGGAGGAACACCGGUGGCGAAGGCGGGUCUCUGGGCAGUAACUGACGCUGAGGAGCGAAAGCGUGGGGAGCGAACAGG
This 254-nucleotide ribosomal RNA is filed under the name uncultured bacterium. RNAcentral describes it as "partial 16S ribosomal RNA". It matches the Rfam family "Bacterial small subunit ribosomal RNA", at positions 524 to 776 of the family's 1533-position model. The record is from RNAcentral.